RNAcentral lists this transfer RNA (65 nucleotides) under Marmota monax (woodchuck). RNAcentral's name for it is "tRNA.Ala". Lineage: Eukaryota; Metazoa; Chordata; Mammalia; Rodentia; Sciuridae. The record is from RNAcentral.
GGAUUGUGGCUCAGCGGUAGAGCGCUCACCUCGCCUGCGGGACCCGGGUUCGAUUCUCAGCACCA